This 304-nucleotide ribosomal RNA is filed under the name uncultured bacterium. Its description in RNAcentral is "partial 16S ribosomal RNA". It matches the Rfam family "Bacterial small subunit ribosomal RNA", at positions 506 to 807 of the family's 1533-position model. The record is from RNAcentral.
CAGCAGUAGCCGCGGUAAUACGUAGGGCGCAAGCGUUAUCCGGAAUUAUUGGGCGUAAAGAGCUCGUAGGCGGUUUGUCGCGUCUGCCGUGAAAGUCCGGGGCUCAACCCCGGAUCUGCGGUGGGUACGGGCAGACUAGAGUGAUGUAGGGGAGACUGGAAUUCCUGGUGUAGCGGUGAAAUGCGCAGAUAUCAGGAGGAACACCGAUGGCGAAGGCAGGUCUCUGGGCAUUAACUGACGCUGAGGAGCGAAAGCAUGGGGAGCGAACAGGAUUAGAUACCCCCGUAGUCCCUGUCUCUUAUAC